Molecule: ribosomal RNA, 468 nt
Filed under: uncultured bacterium
Lineage: Bacteria
Description: partial 16S ribosomal RNA
Rfam family: Bacterial small subunit ribosomal RNA
Source: RNAcentral
GACGAACGCUGGCGGCGUGCUUAACACAUGCAAGUCGAACGGAAAGGCCCUGCUUUUGUGGGGUGCUCGAUUGGCGAACGGGUGAGUAACACGUGAGUAACCUGCCCUUGACUUUGGGAUAACUUCAGGAAACUGGGGCUAAUACCGGAUAGGAGCUCCUGCUGCAUGGUGGGGGUUGGAAAGUUUCGGCGGUUGGGGCUGGACUCGCGGCUUAUCAGCUUGUUGGUGGGGUAGUGGCUUACCAAGGCUUUGACGGGUAGCCGGCCUGAGAGGGUGACCGGCGACAUGGGGACUGAGAGACGGCCCAGACUCCUACGGGAGGCAGCAGUGGGAAAUAUUGCACAAUGGGCGGAAGCCUGAUGCAGCAACGCCGCGUGCGGGAUGACGGCCUUCGGGUUGUAAACCGCUUUCGCCUGUGACGAAGCGUGAGUGACGGUAAUGGGUAAAGAAGCACCGGCUAACUACGUG